Molecule: long non-coding RNA, 1286 nt
Filed under: Capsella grandiflora
Lineage: Eukaryota; Viridiplantae; Streptophyta; Magnoliopsida; Brassicales; Brassicaceae
Description: long non-coding RNA (CGRA_LNC001115)
Source: RNAcentral
AAAAAUUGAAUAUUGUAUAGCCGAAUAAAUUAAAACUAAAUACAUAUACAUCAAGAAACAUGUAAGUGGGAAACUAAUAUGAAGCUCUAAACGUUCAAACUUUACAGCUGCUUUGUAUACACAUCUGAAAUCUUUAAAUUUCAAGACUGUGAAAGUGAAAAACAAAGAUUAAACAAAACAAAACAAUGGUGUUAAAUUGGUCACAGAAAUGCGAAAAAGUCAGAGAUCAAGCUAUAAUUUAUACAUGAGAAUGAAUAACAACACUACCUUAUGGUUGUGGAAGCUAAAACGUAAGCUUUGCUGUUUUAGCUUUUGCUUGGACAUAUCUGAUCACUGAUCACAAAAAGUUUAAUAUCUCAAACAUCAAACUUCCAUCUAACUUUUAAACACACAAAAAAGCAGCUUCAGUACCAUAUCAGAGACUUGAAAGCUUACCAUAUCAGAGGGUCUACCACAUUCCAAGCGAAAAGACUCAAAAGCUCUAUUGCUCUGGCCUUUUUUGGGGUCAAGACAUAUCUUUUAUACCUGAUUUCAAUUUGAACAGUUUAAUGAAUUUUGAGAAGCAAGAAUGACAGAUGGAAAAAACUUCUGCUCAUUCAUUGACAGAUAUCUUAAUACCACUUACUUCAAAUCAAGACACAAACAUUCAAGCACGAGUUCAAAUGCAGAAAGCCUCGUCACAAUAUAAUAUGCAAACUGAUACUCGAGAAAAAUCAGGUUCAAGAGAGUAUAAAAGUCUAGUUUCACCUACACGGAAACAAAGUUCAUCCUAUUAUAAGAGACAAUAUUACGCAACGUAUACUUCAAUCAUCAGUUCUAUCACUGACUGGAACAACUACAUAACGAAAGAUGUUAAAACAGGAAAUCAGUGUUCACAUAGUCGCCACCAAUCAAGCACAAAGCACUACCUAGAAGUAGAACAUAGAGUUACCAAUGAAUCAAACAUCAAAUAAGAGGAAAAACGAAAUAAUAUGUGAUCAAUGAAUACAAAUAGAGAGAACUGCAGGUGCACACACACUCACAUAGAAGUCCAAGAAAUGCAAUUAGAAAAAAAAGAGUUGAGAAUUUGUGAUUACCUUCUGAAGAAACAUAUGAUUUAUAGAGUCAGGUUAGACUAAUGUUGUCUCUCUUAUCAGUUCACUUCCUGUUUCAACUGCUUCGUUCCCGUUGCUCUUCCUGGUCUUCAAAAGACCACGGAUUUUUCUGCAAUCCUUCUAUAUGCAUAUGCUCCGAUAUGACUGCAGGAAACAGUUUCCUUGUUUCAGUUAUACAUUGUGGCUGAAGGU